Long non-coding RNA from Gallus gallus (chicken), 3735 nucleotides. RefSeq lists it as uncharacterized. The record is from RefSeq and is a predicted model, not a curated record. The transcript is spliced from 2 exons. Lineage: Eukaryota; Metazoa; Chordata; Aves; Galliformes; Phasianidae.
GGCGGCGCCUCUGCGCGCUGCGCUUCUGGAAGUCCCUUCGUUCCCCGCGGCGGCCGCGGCCGCAGCCGUGCCGGGACCGUCGGUUUCCCGCAGCCCUUCGUGUGGUGACGCACCCGCGCUCCUUAACGGCCUCCGCUAAAAGGGGAUGAAAUGCUGAAGAGAGGUUUGUUGACUUCGAAGGUGGUGUGUUUGCACACGACACAGCACGGGAUGGACGAAGCGAUGGGAAAGCAAGCCCGGACCUGAGGCUGCGACAGCAAAUCACACCUCCGUGGAAAACGCUGUUCUGUCCCUUCGGGGCAUCUGAGCCUCCUCCAGGGAGCUGGAAGCGCCCUCUGCACCGAGCCCGGAACUGCACAGGCCCUACAAACCCAACCGCUCGGGAAUGGCUCUACGUACCAGUGUGCCGAGAUUACCACGCUUCUGAUGCCAGCUAAAGGCAUGCAGUGUGUCUUCCGGAGCCUGCCCUCCUGCUCGGAGGAUCACAAGUUAAUUAACUAAGUGGAAUCGUAUGCUCAAAUUAGCUCCGCUCUAUGAAAAGUUGGCGUCGCGCCGCGCGGAGGGGCUGCGCCCGCCGAGGUCCCGGCGCUGCCGGCAGGUGGCGCCACGAGCCCGGGCACGGCCUGAGCCGCCCGUAGCACCGCCUGGCGGCGUUGGCGCGGAAGGGCAGCGGGGCGCCGCGGCUGUUGGCCUCCUGGUUGUGACAGACGCCACCUCAACAGCAUGGCUUUACGCAUUCUUCAUAAGCGUCAUUAUCUGCUUCCUUUUUAUUUAUUUAUUUAUUUCCCCUCACCAGUGCGCUGGGGAGCAGCAGGGAUAGAAGUGACUCUCCCCUCCGCUGUGGUUACGGGAUGCCAAUGACUUCCAUGGGAUGGCAAUGAUUUCAAUACAUGUAGCACCCAGAGGUCCUGCUGCCACACUGCCCUGUGGUGACACAACAACCUUUUUGCCUCUUCUCUACGCACUUCCCCUUCCCCAUCUGCACCCGACUGCAGCCUACAGAAGGAUUCAGAGACGCUUUUGAACACAGGCCUGUGCUACGCCAACUCCUUCGUGCAGCACUGCACAAGGCUCAUAGAUCAGAACAUCCAGAAGUCAGACUCGCUCCUCUCGCCUGUUACCCAUUCUUGUGCAAUUCUUCCUGAUCCGCAAGGCAAGAAGCAGAAGCUGGCUGCAGUUCCUUCGCUGGACUCUCUCUGGCAUGGGAAAGUGUCAGUGGGUGGGAGGGCUGGAACAGCCACUCCUAGGGCUACUUCCAAAGCCAUGCACACAGAGAUAGGGAGAUGACGGGGACCAGAAGCGACAUGUGGGGAGGACGGCACGCUGUGGCUAUCCCACCUGGUGCCCAGGCCAUCGCAGCCAGCUGCCAGAUGACACAGACCCGGGAGCUGUUCUCACAUGCCAGUGCUCACCACCAACAUGUCCUAACUGCUUCCCAUGGUGCUCAACGCAGGAUGAGAGCAGCUGAAUAAAAAGUAAUUGUAAAGCCUAGCAUGCAGCCUUUAAAGUUUUUAAUGAAGAAUCUUGUAAUUCUUCACCAUGGCCCAUUCUCCUGCCAACCUCCCUAAGAUUGCCUUUGGUUUCUGCUGUCCCUGGCAGUACGCAGCACUAAGUUCCAGCUAUCUGGCCCCAGCUUCAGGACCACUGAAGAGUUCUUCUUGUUCAGAAAUUUCUGAAAUCGGUAACCACCAGUCUGUUCCUGGGAACUCCUGGCACUUGUCAGAGUUCCUUAAAAGGGUCAGAUUUCUGUUCUCCCAACCCUUUUUUUCAAAGUGCAGACACUCCAGAAAAAAAAAAGAACACCUGUCCUGUAACAAACUCAUCAAGCAAGGAGAUACAGUUAUGUAGGAAAUGUCAGAUGACUAUGAAGAACUUCUGGAAAGCUAGUGGACAGCAACUUCUCUGUCUGUUUUUCAACGGGCUACUAUAAAACUGCUCAGAAAUAAAGCCCACAUCUUCCUGGUCAGAUGGCUUCAACGUGCACUUUGCAACAUGGGGCUGGAGCCUACAGCUUCUGCUUUUCCACUGGCAUUUGUGUGCACUCAGACACUCUCCUUUUCUUUCUUUUGUAGCCCUCAUUGCAACAUUGCUCCACUUAAAUUUGCUCUGACCUCCAAUUCACUCUGGAAAAUUUUCCAUGCAGCAGGGGAAGGUAUUUUGCUCACACAGUCCCCACCGGCUGCAGGCAGGGGUGCCAUCUCCAGGUGUUGCUUCUACAGCACUGGGUAGGGCAAAGAGCAACAUGGAGAUAAAGUGGGGAUUGAGCAACCUGGCACUGCAAAGGCCAAGCGUGCUAGGUCAGAGGUGAGGAGAAAAUCAGCAGACAACCAACAAACACCCGAGCAUCCCCAUGUCACAAGGGAAUGAGGGGUGAGGGAGCCCUCUGGGAGGGGGAGGACUCCACUCUGUAACAAAAGAACCCAAGGAGGCCAGGAGACGGCCUGCAACUCACAUGGGAGGUCCCUGACACAGGGGACUGUAAUGCAGAGUAUCACGACUGCAGUUUAAGAGAGGAAAUAGUGUGGCAAUAGCUUUUUGGUUUUUUGUUUGUUUGUUUUUGUUUGGUUUAUUAUUAUUAUUAUUAUUAUUAUUAUUAAAUGUUAAAAUGAGGCAAAGUCUUGAGUCUGGUCUAAGAGCUGGGAGAGGUGGAAGGAGAGCCAAUCUCUCUCUGAGUUGACGCACUGUGCCUGCCAACCUCACUCUGUCCUGCCUGACAUUUCAUGAACACUGUGUCUUUUAUUAUUUAUUUAUUUUUAGCAGUGGAGAACAGCACGUGGAAAGCAACAGGUCGGAAUCGAGCCUCUGCCAGGUACAACUUACGAGUUGGUGCUGGUGUAAGGUGCACGGCUGUAUGAAGAGGGACCUGGGACUGGGAACAAGGAGAAAACAGAGCACACAGAGUGUUCAGAAAUAGAUUUCAAUUUUACUUCUCUUUUUCACAGUCUUCAUUGCAACAUUGCUCCACUUACGUCAAACUUUCAGGCAAGGCCACAUCUCACCCCAAGGUCUCCCAUAGCAGCCCUGUGCUCCCCCAGCCUGCCCACAUGCACGGACACCACUGCUCUCAUUCUCCUCUCCAACUCACCUCCAGCACACUACCAGCAGCACCUUGUUCAGUGAUGCAACUGUUGACUUCUGGCAUUAUCUUCUUUAAUCUUUGCCCCUCUUCUGCCUCUCCAUGCUUUGCAUUGGGCUGCAGUGAGGGGCUGUGUCCACACAGCGUUUAGCAUGAUGCACCUCUGAUCUCACUGAUCUGCCAGGAGAUACUGCAAGGCAAACAACAUGCAAGACGAGUCUUCAGCAAGAGGCAUCUAAAAUUAUAGACAGCCUUUUUCUAGAGUACAAACCCUCAGCCCACAGAUUUUCUUACAAAAUCUUCAGUGUUUGAUCUGUGACCAUUACAUUAAUAGCAUCUCCCUAAAGCUAGUGUCCUUCCAGGACAGCUGCUAUAGACCUGCAGUGUGGGAAUUGGAGAGCCUGCUGGAAAUCCUGGAAAAGAAGACAAUUUUCAGGAAUAAUGUGUCUCUGCAACGUCUUAUCAUAGGUCUGAGCCUGCAGCUGGAAAGCUGUGUCUUUCUACAGUGUAAAAGGGAAAAUGUAGAGCAGAAUUUAAUUCAUGACAGAAAAGAGUGGUGAAGAUGAGAUUCUUCCCUCCACUUUUUCCCCCUUCCCACAUUCUUGUCUUACCCCUCCACUAUCUAUCUUCUUUCACACAUGAAUAAAGAGGAAUCUGGA